This 460-nucleotide ribosomal RNA is filed under the name uncultured bacterium. RNAcentral's name for it is "partial 16S ribosomal RNA". It matches the Rfam family "Bacterial small subunit ribosomal RNA", at positions 338 to 795 of the family's 1533-position model. The record is from RNAcentral.
CCUACGGGAGGCAGCAGUGAGGAAUAUUGGUCAAUGGACGAGAGUCUGAACCAGCCAAGUAGCGUGAAGGAUGACUGCCCUAUGGGUUGUAAACUUCUUUUAUAUGGGAAUAAAAUGUUCCACGUGUGGGAUUUUGUAUGUACCUUAUGAAUAAGGAUCGGCUAACUCCGUGCCAGCAGCCGCGGUAAUACGGAGGAUCCGAGCGUUAUCCGGAUUUAUUGGGUUUAAAGGGAGCGUAGGUGGAUUGUUAAGUCAGUUGUGAAAGUUUGCGGCUCAACCGUAAAAUUGCAGUUGAAACUGGCAGUCUUGAGUACAGUAGAGGUAGGCGGAAUUCGUGGUGUAGCGGUGAAAUGCUUAGAUAUCACGAAGAACUCCGAUUGCGAAGGCAGUUCACUGGACUGCAACUGACACUGAGGCUCGAAAGUGUGGGUAUCAAACAGGAUUAGAUACCCUAGUAGUC